UGUGUUUACUUCUUCUUCUUUAUUCUGUGUUUAUACAACAUUAUAUGAAGGCACAAAUGUUACUUGUCUCUUGCACAACACAGCAAAAGAAACUUUUAUUGAGGAAACAAUGAGUCAAUGACCCAUAUUUGGCUAGUGAUGAACAAUAGUUUCCUAGGGUCAAUGUCUUUCAACAGUAGCUGUUAAAUAGCAUUUGGAUAUGUGUCAUUCAAGAAAUUGACUUUUGUUGGCUGGCUUUUAUUAUUAUCUUUUGAAUCAUAAGCUAAUAUCUAUCAGUUGUGUGGCCCACUGUCUAAUCUUCAGCAAAUGAAUUAGCUGUGAUCCUUUGUUAGAUCUAGAUAUUCAUUGGAGUUUCAGCUUCGCUCCUUUAACAUGAUUGAAGGCGGUCUUUAGAAAAUGUGAUAGGUGGGGUUGUGGACAAUGCUUGAGUAUGUGAAGCUGGCUUGAAAGCAGUUCAAUCUGGACUUGCAUAGGUACAGUGAUUCAACUGUUGUCUUGAACUACUUCAUCUGAACUCUACUGCUUCUUCUGCCAACAAGAUUAUGCAUAUCUUUUGUCCUUUCCUGUGGAACUGUUCCUAGUGGUCAUUGUUGUGCAGGCUGAAGAGGAUGAGAGUUAUAUCUUUAUAUCAUCAAUGCUCAGCUUAUUGGCUUAGUAUGGUGUACGGCCACAUGCAAUAAAUGCUUCUGCUAUUGCUAAUAGUGCAAAGGGGAUUUGGAUUGGAAUGUUGUUCGGCACGGUUGUUCAUACUCUUGUACUAUCUUACCUUACAUGGAGAACUGACUGGGACAAUCAGACAGGCACAACAACACAGGUACUAAUCAAUUUCAAUUUCAAAGGCGACCAUCCAUUGAUCCCAACCCUCGGAAGUGAAAAAAAGCCACAAUGGUAAAGUCUAAUCAACGGUUGAUAAUGCUUGAAUUCCAAAGAUAAACGAGGUACUAUGCAAUGCUCAGGUGUAGAUAUUAUAAGUCAAUUAUUACUAAUAGUAGAUAUUAUAAGUCAAUUAUCUUCUCUCACUAUCUAGGAUUUUGCUUUUUUCUAUCAAGGAAAGAAAUCAAUGGGCAUUUUUGUAAUCGAAGUUGAUUGUUCUGACAUUUUUUUUUAGCAACUUUUACCAAGUAUGGCUAAGAACUGUUAUUAGCUUCAGUCCAAAUUACAAUUGGUAUUGAUGAACUGCAUUAUAACUCUUAUUCUUUGAUUUCACAAGCUAGAUUCUGUCAACAAAAAGGUGCAGUUUAAUCCACAGCCACAGACUGACUUCAGGAAAAAGCACAUACAAGCAAAACCACGCCCUCAUCCUUCAGGGUGAGUUUCAGACUGAAAACUGAUACAAAUCUCUUUGAGAUUGCAAAGUCCGAGGAAGCUUCAAAAUCUCCAAAAAAGGAUUGAUUGGGUUGGGAUGAAUGCUUGGGCCCCACUUUGUAAUUCUUAUUUAAUGGAUUUUUUAGAAAUUUCUUCAAAUUUGUAAUUUUGGUUUUGGUGUUGGGAUGGUCAUUUGCUGCUUUCUUUUCUUUUUUUAUAUUUUGUAAAUAGAGUAAUCUUACCGUUGAGGUUUAGAUGUAUGUGCUUCAGCAAAAGGAUGCAAUAGAUGUUAUCAUUGGAUCUCCAUCAAUGAAGUUUCUCUAGGUUUUUUUUUAAAA
This is a long non-coding RNA of Magnolia sinica, 1643 nucleotides long. RefSeq lists it as uncharacterized. Lineage: Eukaryota; Viridiplantae; Streptophyta; Magnoliopsida; Magnoliales; Magnoliaceae. The record is from RefSeq and is a predicted model, not a curated record. The transcript has 4 exons.